UACAGAGGUCCCAAGCGUUGUUCGGAUUCACUGGGCGUAAAGGGUGCGUAGGUGGCUUGGAAAGUUUGAUGUGAAAGCUCAGGGCUUAACCCUGAAAUGGCAUUGAAUACUGCUGAGCUGGAGGUUUGGAGGGGGGACUGGAAUUCUUGGUGUAGCAGUGAAAUGCGUAGAUAUCAAGAGGAACACCAGUGGCGAAGGCGAGUCCCUGGACAACACCUGACACUGAGGCACGAAAGCUAGGGGAGCAAACAGG
This 253-nucleotide ribosomal RNA is filed under the name uncultured bacterium. Its description in RNAcentral is "partial 16S ribosomal RNA". It matches the Rfam family "Bacterial small subunit ribosomal RNA", at positions 524 to 776 of the family's 1533-position model. The record is from RNAcentral.